RNAcentral lists this ribosomal RNA (530 nucleotides) under Diaporthe rudis. RNAcentral describes it as "eukaryotic LSU rRNA". The stretch from base 208 to 361 matches the Rfam family "5.8S ribosomal RNA". The record is from RNAcentral. Lineage: Eukaryota; Fungi; Ascomycota; Sordariomycetes; Diaporthales; Diaporthaceae.
GAACCUGCGGAGGGAUCAUUGUUGGAACGCGCUUCGGCGCACCUCCAGACAACCCUUUGUGAACUUAUACCUAUACUGUUGCCUCGGCGUCAGGCUGGCUCCCCUCGGGGGGUCCCUCACCAUCUCGGUGAGGAGCAGGCCCGCCGGCGGCCAAGUUAACUCUUGUUUUUACACUGAAACUCUGAGAAUAAAACAAAAAUGAAUCAAAACUUUCAACAACGGAUCUCUUGGUUCUGGCAUCGAUGAAGAACGCAGCGAAAUGCGAUAAGUAAUGUGAAUUGCAGAAUUCAGUGAAUCAUCGAAUCUUUGAACGCACAUUGCGCCCUCUGGUAUUCCGGAGGGCAUGCCUGUUCGAGCGUCAUUUCAACCCUCAAGCCUGGCUUGGUGAUGGGACACUGCCUUUGAGAAAAGGCAGGUCCUGAAAUUCAGUGGCGAGCUCGCCAGGACCCCGAGCGCAGUAGUUAAACCCUCGCUUUGGAAGGUCUUGGUGCGGCCCUGCCGUUAAACCCCCAACUUCUGAAAAUUGACCU